RNAcentral lists this unclassified non-coding RNA (346 nucleotides) under soil metagenome. Its description in RNAcentral is "partial contains 5.8S ribosomal RNA, internal transcribed spacer 2, and large subunit ribosomal RNA". The stretch from base 5 to 121 matches the Rfam family "5.8S ribosomal RNA", at positions 38 to 154 of the family's 154-position model. The record is from RNAcentral.
GAUGGAAGAACGUAGCGAAAUGCGAUACGUAAUGUGAAUUGCAGAAUUCAGAGAAUCAUCGAGUCUUUGAACGCACAUUGCGCCCCCUGGUAUUCCGGGGGGCAUGCCUGUCCGAGCGUCAUUGCUGCCCUCAAGCACGGCUUGUGUGUUGGGCCUCCGUCCUCCUCCCGGGGGACGGGCCCGAAAGGCAGCGGCGGCACCGCGUCCGGUCCUCGAGCGUAUGGGGCUUCGUCACCCGCUCUUGUAGGCCCGGCCGGCGCUUGCCGACACAUCAAUCUUUUUUCCAGGUUGACCUCGGAUCAGGUAGGGAUACCCGCUGAACUUAAGCAUAUCAAUAAGCGGAGGA